GAUGAACGCUAGCGGCAGGCAUAAUACAUGCAAGACGAACGGCAAGGUUGAUAGCAAUAUUGAUCCUAGAGUGUCGUACGGGUGCGUAACACGUAUGCAACCUACCUUUUACAGGAGUAUAGCUCGGUGAAAACCGAAUUAACCCUCCAUAAGAUCAUAGUGAGGCAUCUCACAGUGAUUAAAACUGCGGUGGUAAAAGAUGGGCAUGCGUUUGAUUAGCUGGUUGGCAGUGUAACGGACUAACAAGGCGAUGAUCAAUAGGGGACCUGAGAGGGUGAUCCCCCACACUGGCACUGAGAUACGGGCCAGACUCCUACGGGAGGCAGCAGUAGGGAAUAUUGGACAAUGGGUGAGAGCCUGAUCCAGCCAUGCCGCGUGCAGGAAGAAGGCGUUAUGCGUUGUAAACUGCUUUUGCCAGGGGAUAAAACGGCCCUGCGGGGCUAAUUGAAGGUACCUGGUGAAUAAGCCACGGCUAACUACGUGCCAGCAGCCGUGGUAAUACGUAGGUGGCAAGCGUUGUCCGGAUUUAUUGGGUUUAAAGGGUGCGUAGGCGGCCCUGUAAGUCAGUGCUGAAAUAUCCCGGCUUAACCGGGAGGGUGGCAUUGAUACUGCAGGGCUUGAGUACAGAUGAAGUAGGCGGAAUUGACGGUGUAGCGGUGAAAUGCAUAGAUAUCGUCAAGAACACCGAUAGCGAAGGCAGCUUGCUAAGCUGUAACUGACGCUGAGGCACGAAAGUGUGGGGAUCAAACAGGAUUAGAUACCCUGGUAGUCCACACUGUAAACGUUGAUGACUCGAUGUUGGCGAUACACGGCCAGCGUCCAAGAGCAAUCGUUAAGUCAUCCACCCGGGGAGUACGCCGGCAACGGUGAAACUCAAAGGAAUUGACGGGGGUCCGCACAAGCGGUGGAGCAUGUGGUUUAAUUCGAUGCAACGCGAAGAACCUUACCUGGUCUUGACAUGUCUGGAAUCCCGAAGAGAUUUGGGAGUGCCGCAAGGAACCAGAACACAGGUGCUGCAUGGCUGUCGUCAGCUCGUGUCGUGAGAUGUUGGGUUAAGUCCCGCAACGAGCGCAACCCUUGUCCUUAGUUGCCAUCAUUAAGUUGGGAACUCUAAGGAGACCGCCGGUGACAAACCGGAGGAAGGUGGGGAUGACGUCAAGUCAUCAUGGCCUUUAUGACCAGGGCUACACACGUGCUACAAUGGCAGGUACAGAGGGAAGCCAACCAGCGAUGGGGAGCUAAUCCCAGAAAGCCUGUCUUAGUCCGGAUUGGAGUCUGCAACUCGACUCCAUGAAGUUGGAAUCGCUAGUAAUCGCAGAUCAGCAUUGCUGCGGUGAAUACGUUCCCGGGUCUUGUACACACCGCCCGUCACACCAUGGGAGUUGAUUGCACCAGAAGCAGGUAGCCUGACCGCAAGGAGGGCGCUUACCACGGUGUGGUUAAUGACUGGGGUGAAGUCGUAACAAGGUAAC
Molecule: ribosomal RNA, 1472 nt
Filed under: uncultured bacterium
Lineage: Bacteria
Description: bacterial SSU rRNA
Rfam family: Bacterial small subunit ribosomal RNA
Source: RNAcentral